This 67-nucleotide transfer RNA is filed under the name Arion flagellus. Its description in RNAcentral is "tRNA-Pro". Lineage: Eukaryota; Metazoa; Mollusca; Gastropoda; Stylommatophora; Arionidae. The record is from RNAcentral.
UCAAAUGUAGUUAAUCUUUAACAUUAACUUUGGGAGUUAAAAAUUUACUGUAUACGUAACUUUUGAA